UGGAAGGGGCUGCAGGCUCUGCAGGAUGGAGGCCACGGCCAUCUUCUUUUCCAGGGUGGUAUCGCUGAGGUACUCGUGGUCCAGGAGGCUGAGCAGCCCGCUCGAAGCUCAGCACAGGUCUCAGGCUGGAGCCCCUGGCCAUCCAGGACACAGGCAGGAAAGAGAGCCUUCCUGUCCCAUCAGUUCAUGUGCUUCAAUCUCUGGAACCUUCUGUUUCCG
RNAcentral lists this long non-coding RNA (219 nucleotides) under Homo sapiens (human). RNAcentral describes it as "HSALNT0096046". Lineage: Eukaryota; Metazoa; Chordata; Mammalia; Primates; Hominidae. The record is from RNAcentral.